This 81-nucleotide small nucleolar RNA is filed under the name Carlito syrichta (Philippine tarsier). RNAcentral describes it as "Small nucleolar RNA SNORD115 (ENSTSYG00000034663.1)". It matches the Rfam family "Small nucleolar RNA SNORD115". Rfam says of the family: HBII-52 is a member of the C/D class of snoRNAs, which contain the C (UGAUGA) and D (CUGA) box motifs. HBII-52 is encoded in a tandemly repeated array with another C/D snoRNA, HBII-85, in the Prader-Willi syndrome (PWS) region of chromosome 15. The record is from Rfam by way of RNAcentral. Lineage: Eukaryota; Metazoa; Chordata; Mammalia; Primates; Tarsiidae.
GGGUCAAUGAUUAAAUCUUUGCCUUGUCUCUAUAGAGUUGCUGUCUUAAAAGUCAUGUGCAAUAGAGUUACGCUGAGGACC